AUCUAGUGAACUCAUGAGCGUACUCAGAUACGCUCAUUCCGGGCAUCUGCUUCAGCCUCUCAAACUGAAGAGCCCGAUUCUGCCUCUCAACCGGAGACAAAAACUCAUCCAUCACUGCUUGCCUGAACUCUUCCCAGGUUGGAGGAUUCCUACUGUACAAUUUGUCCUCCACUUGUCUCUGGUACCAGUCCCAAGCAUCUUCCUUCAUUGUAAGCCUUACAAGUUCUAUAACUCUUGCAUCAGAACAGGGCAGUCUCCGUAUCAUCUUUUCAGUCUCCUCCAGAAAUCUCUGAGGAUCUUCACCUUCUUUCCCCUUAAACUCCGGGGUUCUGAGCCUCAGAAAUUCCUGUACAGUAAUUCCCUCAUCAUCUAGAGCCCGCCUGGCCAAACUUCUUGGCACAGGUACAGGAGGUGGGAUGGAUACUACUGACGGGGCAGAAGAUUUCCCCCGAGCAAUCUACUCCCUCAGAGCCUGAUUCUCCGCCAGUAACUGUUCCAUCAAUGUAUCUCUACUUCCUACAUCUCCUUGAUCAUCAACCCUCCGUCUAUC
Molecule: long non-coding RNA, 550 nt
Filed under: Phoenix dactylifera (date palm)
Lineage: Eukaryota; Viridiplantae; Streptophyta; Magnoliopsida; Arecales; Arecaceae
Description: long non-coding RNA (PDAC_LNC021957)
Source: RNAcentral